ACAGUGGAGCACUUAGAGGAGAGCACAGCCUUCCGCUACCUGGCCCAGUACUAUUUUAAAUGCAAGCUGUGGGAUGAAGCUUCAACUUGUGCCCAAAAAUGUUGUGCAUUCAAUGAUGGAGAUUUGAGUAAAGGAGAAUGCCGUGAGCGCAAGAUCCGUGCGUAAGGGCUGCUGUCUGUCGAGCUUUGGCAGUUCAGCUUUAACUUCCUGGAGCUGCUGAGAGGAGGCAGAGGCUGCCAACCUUUGUGACCGCCGGAGGGACAGUUCACACCCCCCUGACUGUUGUGCCACUGGCUGCUGUUUGGCUUCCUGCAAGAGAGUUUCUAGCUCUUCAAUUUUUUCAUCCCGCUCCUAAGAGGGAAGCAGAGAGCACAGUUCUGUCUAGGGUCAGACAAAUACCAAAGGACCAGACUAAAAGAACAUAAGCACCUACGCGCGACAUUAGCCCAUUAGCACACUUUCACGGUGGACUCAUCCCUAAACUCAAACUCAGUAGCUGCAAGGCACUAAGGGAAACUAAUAAAAACGAAUUCUAUAUU
RNAcentral lists this long non-coding RNA (539 nucleotides) under Rattus norvegicus (Norway rat). RNAcentral describes it as "long non-coding RNA NONRATT013737". Lineage: Eukaryota; Metazoa; Chordata; Mammalia; Rodentia; Muridae. The record is from RNAcentral.